UAUCGCAGUCCAUGCUGUUAUGUACUUUAAUACUAAAGUGCUGCUUGGACUACAUAUGGUUGAGGGUUGUUAGACUACUUAAACAGUUGAUUUUAGUUAUUUUAUAGCUUAAAUCACAUGGUGUAUUGAAGGAGUUUAAUGUGUUCUACACAUAAAGCCCGCAAUACUAANAACNNUAUUAUAAAGCCUCANAAUAUGCACUUANUAUUCAUUUGAUNCNUAUNUNUAUAANGAUAAAUAGGCAAAAGAAUUAAAAAAAAUCAUAAAGCCUUAAUCUUUUAAUAUACGUGUUAAAAUAACUAAAAAAGGAAGAAAAGUGCAAUUUUGAGCAAAAAUUUUGUUUAUACAACCUCAACUCAUAUGGGAUU
Molecule: unclassified non-coding RNA, 368 nt
Filed under: Chalarus sp. CK1
Lineage: Eukaryota; Metazoa; Arthropoda; Insecta; Diptera; Pipunculidae
Description: sequence contains ITS2
Source: RNAcentral